This is a long non-coding RNA of Rhineura floridana, 3223 nucleotides long. RefSeq lists it as uncharacterized. The record is from RefSeq and is a predicted model, not a curated record. The transcript is spliced from 3 exons. Lineage: Eukaryota; Metazoa; Chordata; Lepidosauria; Squamata; Rhineuridae.
CCAGAGGAGGACAGGGGAGCACAUGAAUCCAUGGCUCAUGCACAAAAUGUUAAACUAUGCACAGAAUCAGGAAACCUUUUUCAGAAUGGAGAACCAGAUGGAGAAGAGGGCAACUUUCCAUGGGUCAUUUUUGACAGAUAAACGACGAGUGCUGGCUCAGAUGGAACGCGAAACGAACUGCUCUGUGGUUUGUUUCCCUGCUGGAGGAAGGGAGAAGCAAAGUGGGAGCACUCAAGCUGCAUCCACCAAUGGGUAGCAGACAAAUUUGCUUCAUGGUCUAAGCCAGUGUGGUGUAGUGGUUAGAGUGUUGGACUACAACCUGGGAGACCAGGGUUCGAAUCCCCACACAGUCACGAAGCUGACUGGGUGACCUUGGGCCAGUCGCUGCCUCUCAGCCUCAGAGGAAGGCAGUGGUUAACCCCCUCUGAAUACCGCUUACCAUGAAACCCCUAUUCAUAGGGUCGCCGUAAGUUGGGAUCAACUUGAAGGCAGUCCAUUUCCAUUUUCAAGAAGUGUGAAUACCGAGUGAUCUUGGAUUUCCUCUAAAAAGAAUCAGCUUUCUUUUUCUUUCUUAACUAUAAUAUCUGCUUGACUCAAGCCCCGAUGUAUUAGUUCAAUUCACAUGAUUUGCAUAAAGGUGCAUGGAGUCCUUUCUCGGUUUCCAGAGCACAGCUUGACAUGCUCAGUGUCAAAGCUGGAGGAACUAUGGUUACUACUAUUCUCCAACAACAUCAUACAAAGUGGACUUGCAAACCAGAUGUCAUAGCAACUAUGGUUAUUGCAACCUUGACAUAGAGGAACUGUGGCACAUUUUAUAUGACGGGGUUUACAUGAUCUUUGGAAAAGGGGGCUGUCCUACAGGUCCAAUUUCCAUGAGAUGUUUCUGGAGCUAAGUAGAUUUAUUCUGUCAUACAAAAAUGAACCACAGAAGAAACCAAGCCAUAAUAAUUGAAAUAGGAUAGCAAGGGUGUUAGUGAGAGAUAGUUUUUUAAAAAACAAGCACCCUAAUGGAGAAUAUAUAUAUAUAUAAAACAAUGAAAAUGAUGGUGCAAAGCGUCAAGGAACCUUACAGGGAUGUUUCCUGACAAUUAGGGCACGUGUGAGGUAUGUAGUAGCUCAUUUUCUUUUUUGGAGAAAAAUUCCAUUGGUAACAUUAACUCUUCUUCCAGCUCCCUGGCAUACAAGGAAGAGAAGUACUCCAGUUGUUUUAACUAAAAGCCAAGACUUUAACCAGACUCUAUUUUUCCUCUUAAUAAGAAAGACAGUGAGGACCAACGCAUUUACAUCUCUCCUGGGUUUUUUCCCCUCUUUAGACCCAACAAAUUUAACAAGCCCAGGCACUCUAAGCAACAUCAAGGAGGUGGAAGAGAAAUUACUGUGAGGAUAAGGAUCAGGAACAAAAGAUACCACAAAUAAUAUCUAUCCUGAUACUGCAAUCUGAUGGCUGCAUCUUCAACUUUAAUACUAAAAUCAAUUAUAACAUUUAAAAGGAAAAUGGGUUCAGAUAUGAAAUGUUAAUACAUGGUCAGGGGUUCUAACAAAAGCAAUGCAUAGUGUGGCAAAAGUGGAGGAAGAGAAAUGUUUUACUCUGUCUCAUAAUACUAGGGGCCAUUCAAUAAAACGUACAGUAGAGGGGAUUCAGAACAGACAGAUGAAAAAACUAUUUUACACAAUCAGUGUGGUGAUUGUCACUAGUUUGGUUACCUACAAAAGGGAAAUUGGGCCUAUCAUUCAUGUAUUUGUCUAUCAAUGGCUAUUAGUCAUGAUAAGUAGGACGUGAAAAGAGGGUUGCAGUGCAACUGCUCCUGUUUGGGUUCUAGCCAGCCAUGCCUUCUUCUGGGAUACUCCAUUCAAUUUCCCCUGCCUCAGUUUUCACUGUGCCCACAACCAUUAAUCAAGCCCAUUGGGCAUGUUUAAGUCCACAUUGGACUGUUUUGGGUCCCAUUGCUGCCUUUAGCCCACCCCCUUGCUGGGUAGCCUUCGGCCAGUCAAUAUCUCUCGACCUAACCUACCUCACAGAGUUGUUGUGAGGAUGAAAUAGGGAAGGAGAGAACCAUAUAUGCCACCUUGAGCUCUUUGGAGGUAAAGUGGAAUAUAAAUAUAAACAAAAGCACACACUAGAGGAGCAACAGCUGAAGAAACCUGUUGCCUUCAAGCCCUGCCUGUGAGCUGCUGGUUGGCCACUGUGAGGAUGGUAGACUAGAUGGACCUUUGGUUUGAUCCAGUAAGGCUCCUGUGUCCUUAGGCUUGAUCUCUUGUCUCCCCUUCCAGACCCUUGCAUAUAUUUGCAUCUAUUCUUUGCUAAAGAAAGACAGCCACCUGUACCUUAAGUGACACCAUCUUCCAUUUGAAGGAGUGUAGGUUACUCUGAAAUUAGACAAAAUAUUAAAGAUUGGAUGUUGUAAAAUAUUACCACAUGGAACUAUUUUACAGUAUUUUUCUAUACUAGGUUAAAAUAGUUCCAACAACAAAUCUGGCCAAUCCAAUCUUCCUAAGUGUGGUUCCCAUGUUCUGCCCUGGGACAUGCAACUUGGAUAAGCAUGGCUUAAGUCCACAUUUUAACUCAGUCCUUCAGUCAGCCACUUUCAAGUCAAUUUCACUAUUUUAGAGUUGUCCUUCUCAACAAACAAGGCACACACAUGCUCAUCAGUUAUCCCGUUCCAACAGUAAACACCAAUGUAGCUAAGCCAGAAUAAAAAGGUCCCAGUCUACAAUCAUUCUCUGUUCAUCCCUCAGCCAGUAACUCAAACUAGUAAUUUUCAAAGAAGUCCAAAGCACUGUAUGAGUUGUACAGGUUUGCCAGUAUGACCUUCAGCACUAUACGAAAUAAAUCUAGACUUUAAUAAGCUGGUUUUGUUUAAUAUAAGACAUUCAUGAGACUCAUCAACUAUCUGUAAGGCUUUCCUUUAUCAAAGCAGGUCAGGGCGAUGAGUGGCUGCUGAAACAUGCAUCACAUGUUAAAAGCUUUUUUCAAGAACACACAAAAUGGCCUUACUGUUCUAAUCCCUACUGAUGGCUCACGUUGCUUAAGGACAGACCUUACAUGAAAUAUAGCCCAAUAAGCAGCUCAACAAAAAGACAUUCCUGGCUACAAGAGAAUCAAGGAACUAUACAAUGAAGAAAUGCAGCACAAUGAAGAGUGCAAUAUUCAGCAUGUUACAUCACUAUGGUUGGGGCUGCUGCUAACACUCAUCUGUAAGAAGCAAAAGAAAUAAACACAUAG